UAACACCUGGAAACAGAUGCUAAUACCGGAUAAUAACAGAUGAUGCCUAUCAACUGUUUAAAAGAUGGUUCUGCUAUCACUCUUGGAUGGACCUGCGGUGCAUUAGCUAGUUGGUAGGGUAACGGCCUACCAAGGCGAUGAUGCAUAGCCGAGUUGAGAGACUGAUCGGCCACAUUGGGACUGAGACACGGCCCAAACUCCUACGGGAGGCAGCAGCU
This 218-nucleotide ribosomal RNA is filed under the name uncultured Lactobacillus sp. Its description in RNAcentral is "partial 16S ribosomal RNA". It matches the Rfam family "Bacterial small subunit ribosomal RNA", at positions 144 to 355 of the family's 1533-position model. The record is from RNAcentral. Lineage: Bacteria; Bacillati; Bacillota; Bacilli; Lactobacillales; Lactobacillaceae.